This 582-nucleotide ribosomal RNA is filed under the name Streptococcus mutans. RNAcentral describes it as "bacterial SSU rRNA". It matches the Rfam family "Bacterial small subunit ribosomal RNA", at positions 371 to 944 of the family's 1533-position model. Lineage: Bacteria; Bacillati; Bacillota; Bacilli; Lactobacillales; Streptococcaceae. The record is from RNAcentral.
AUGGACGAAAGUCUGACCGAGCAACGCCGCGUGAGUGAAGAAGGUUUUCGGAUCGUAAAGCUCUGUUGUAAGUCAAGAACGUGUGUGAGAGUGGAAAGUUCACACAGUGACGGUAGCUUACCAGAAAGGGACGGCUAACUACGUGCCAGCAGCCGCGGUAAUACGUAGGUCCCGAGCGUUGUCCGGAUUUAUUGGGCGUAAAGGGAGCGCAGGCGGUCAGGAAAGUCUGGAGUAAAAGGCUAUGGCUCAACCAUAGUGUGCUCUGGAAACUGUCUGACUUGAGUGCAGAAGGGGAGAGUGGAAUUCCAUGUGUAGCGGUGAAAUGCGUAGAUAUAUGGAGGAACACCAGUGGCGAAAGCGGCUCUCUGGUCUGUCACUGACGCUGAGGCUCGAAAGCGUGGGUAGCGAACAGGAUUAGAUACCCUGGUAGUCCACGCCGUAAACGAUGAGUGCUGGGUGUUAGGCCCUUUCCGGGGCUUAGUGCCGGAGCUAACGCAAUAAGCACUCCGCCUGGGGAGUACGACCGUAAGGUUGAAACUCAAAGGAAUUGACGGGGGCCCGCACAAGCGGUGGAGCAUGUGG